RNAcentral lists this non-coding RNA (84 nucleotides) under Pseudomonas grimontii. Lineage: Bacteria; Pseudomonadati; Pseudomonadota; Gammaproteobacteria; Pseudomonadales; Pseudomonadaceae. The record is from RNAcentral.
UGUUUCGGCGGCUGUACGCGGGGCAUUUCGGUGCGCCGGGUCCUUAGCCCUGGUCUUCCACACCUGCGUACAGCUGCCACCCUC